Molecule: ribosomal RNA, 486 nt
Filed under: uncultured bacterium
Lineage: Bacteria
Description: partial 16S ribosomal RNA
Rfam family: Bacterial small subunit ribosomal RNA
Source: RNAcentral
AACGAACGCUGGCGGCGUGCCUAACACAUGCAAGUCGAACGGAGUUAUAUGAAGUUUUCGGACGGAAUAUAACUUAGUGGCGGACGGGUGAGUAACGCGUGGGUAACCUGCCUCAUACAGGGGGAUAACAGUUGGAAACGGCUGCUAAAACCGCAUAAGCAUACAUUGCCGCAUGGCAGAGUGUGAAAAUAUUUAUAGGUAUGAGAUGGGCCCGCGUCUGAUUAGCUAGUUGGUGGGGUAAAGGCCUACCAAGGCGACGGUCAGUAGCCGGCUUGAGAGAGUGGCCGGCCACAUUGGGACUGAGACACGGCCCAAACUCCUACGGGAGGCCGCAGUGGGGAAUAUUGCACAAUGGGGGAAACCUUGAUGCAGCGACGCCGCGUGAGUGAAGAAGUAUUUCGGUAUGUAAAGCUCUAUCAGCAGGGAAGAAAAUGACGGUACCUGACUAAGAAGCCCCGGCUAACUACGUGCCAGCCGCCGCCGUAA